UACAGAGGUCCCAAGCGUUGUUCGGAUUCAUUGGGCGUAAAGGGUGCGUAGGUGGCGCUGUAAGUCGGGUGUGAAAUUUCGGAGCUUAACUCCGAAACUGCAUUCGAUACUGCGGUGCUUGAGGACUGGAGAGGAGACUGGAAUUCAUGGUGUAGCAGUGAAAUGCGCAGAUAUCAGGAGGAACACCGGUGGCGAAGGCGGGUCUCUGGGCAACAACUGACGCUGAGGAGCGAAAGCGUGGGGAGCGAACAGG
RNAcentral lists this ribosomal RNA (253 nucleotides) under uncultured bacterium. RNAcentral's name for it is "partial 16S ribosomal RNA". It matches the Rfam family "Bacterial small subunit ribosomal RNA", at positions 524 to 776 of the family's 1533-position model. The record is from RNAcentral.